RNAcentral lists this signal recognition particle RNA (299 nucleotides) under Saimiri boliviensis boliviensis (Bolivian squirrel monkey). RNAcentral's name for it is "Metazoan signal recognition particle RNA (ENSSBOG00000005954.1)". It matches the Rfam family "Metazoan signal recognition particle RNA". From Rfam's summary of the family: The signal recognition particle (SRP) is a universally conserved ribonucleoprotein. It is involved in the co-translational targeting of proteins to membranes. Lineage: Eukaryota; Metazoa; Chordata; Mammalia; Primates; Cebidae. The record is from RNAcentral.
GCCAGGUGCAGUGGUGCGUGCCUAUAGUCCCAGCUACUCGGGAGGCUGAGGUGGGAAGAUCGCUUGAGCCCAGGAGUUCUGGGUUGUAGUGUGCUAUGCCAAUCGGGUGUGCACACUAAGUUCAGCAUCAAUAUAGUGACCUCCCAGGAGCAGGGGACCACCAGGUUGCCUAAGGAGGGGUGAACCGGCCCAGGUCGGAAACGGAGCAGGUCAAAACUCCCGUGAUGAUCAGUAGUGGGAUCGCGCCUGUGAAUAGCCACUGCACUCCAGCCUGGGAAACACAGCAAGACCCCGUCUUA